This 105-nucleotide ribosomal RNA is filed under the name uncultured bacterium. Its description in RNAcentral is "partial 16S ribosomal RNA". The record is from RNAcentral.
UACACACCGCCCGUCAAGCCAUGGGAGUUGGUGUCGACCUGAAAAGAUUCAGCUAACCGCAAGGAGGCAAAUUUUAAUGGCAAUACCGAAAAAAUGACUGGGGUU